Hyaena hyaena (striped hyena) is the source of this 653-nucleotide long non-coding RNA. RefSeq lists it as uncharacterized. NCBI's taxonomy places the organism in Eukaryota, Metazoa, Chordata, Mammalia, Carnivora, Hyaenidae. The record is from RefSeq and is a predicted model, not a curated record. The transcript is spliced from 3 exons.
CCAAGGCCCAGGGAGGCUAAGACAUUUUUCCAAAGCUCCCAGGAGUCAGGGAAGCAAAUCUGAAAGCUACGCGCAAACAUCAGACUUCAUUUCCUUGGCCUCUUAAUGCUCCCAUUGCUGCCGCUCCGAGGGCUCCGUAGGCGAGGAAGCUCUCAUCUCUUGGCCUGUGGUGUGACUCUGGACUGUCAGGUCAGCCGUACCAGGGUGAAAGGUCCCAUUGAAUGGCCAGCACCGUACACAGCACUGACCCACGGAAGAAGCAAGGAAGUUGAGACAAUGCAACAUUCCACUGGCUUUCUAUUUGUUGUAAAAAGGAACCAACCGGCUGAAGAUGGGACAGUCACCCCAGGCAGACACGACACCCUCGCCUCCGCCUGGAGCCCAAGGAAUUGGAGCACGUACCUGGGGCACCUGGUCGAUGCGAAACAGCCGAGGGAGCUUCAGGCUCAGCAUCUUGAGGCUGGGACAACCGCUCCCUGUCACCCGCUCAGCGUUCGGACAUGGCCCGGGGCGCCUUCGGCCAGCUGGUGCCCAGGACACUUCCCUGAAAGAGGACAGCGUGAAGAAACGCGUCAGCCUUGGCCUAACUCCAGCUGGAUCAGCGCCGCCAGACUGUUGAACCGCGGAGCAAAAACUUGCCUGCAACGGCAAAA